Molecule: ribosomal RNA, 583 nt
Filed under: uncultured bacterium
Lineage: Bacteria
Description: partial 16S ribosomal RNA
Rfam family: Bacterial small subunit ribosomal RNA
Source: RNAcentral
UGGGGAAUAUUGCACAAUGGGCGCAAGCCUGAUGCAGCCAUGCCGCGUGUGUGAAGAAGGCCUUCGGGUUGUAAAGCACUUUCAGCGAGGAGGAAGGUGGUGAGCUUAAUACGUCCAUCAAUUGACGUUACUCGCAGAAGAAGCACCGGCUAACUCCGUGCCAGCAGCCGCGGUAAUACGGAGGGUGCAAGCGUUAAUCGGAAUUACUGGGCGUAAAGCGCACGCAGGCGGUUUGUUAAGUCAGAUGUGAAAUCCCCGGGCUCAACCUGGGAACUGCAUUUGAAACUGGCAAGCUAGAGUCUCGUAGAGGGGGGUAGAAUUCCAGGUGUAGCGGUGAAAUGCGUAGAGAUCUGGAGGAAUACCGGUGGCGAAGGCGGCCCCCUGGACGAAGACUGACGCUCAGGUGCGAAAGCGUGGGGAGCAAACAGGAUUAGAUACCCCUGGUAGUCCAGCGCUGUAAAACGAUGUCGAUUUUGGAGGUUGUGCCCUUGAGGCGUGGCUUCCGGAGCUAACGCGUUAAAUCGACCGCCUGGGGAGUACGGCCGCAAGGUUAAAACUCAAAGGAAUUGACGGGGUCUAGCUG